GGGCCGGCCAACCUGUGUGCCAGCCGCCGCGGCUAAACCAAGGACCCAAAUUGAUAAACUUCGGCGUUAAGCGUGAUAUUAAGCCCCAUCAACAAACUAAAGCUAACCAGAGAUCCAGUUGUAAUAAGCUUAUCUCAUGGAAAACCGUGUGUAAAGACCGCUCUAGCUACUACUCGAAUGCACGACAGCAUGGACACAAACUGGGAUUAGACACCCCACUAUGCCACUAGCCGUAAACUUAACCUACACCAAUCAACGCCCGGGAAUUACAAGCCACGCUUGAAACCCAAAGGACUUGACGGUGCCCCAUCCAACUAGAGGAGCCUGUUCUAUAAUCGAUAACCCCCGUUUUACCUCACCCUCACUGGCCCUCCCAGCCUGUAUACCUCCGUCGCAAGCUUACCAUAUGAACGUUAAAUAGUAAGCUUAAUUAAUUACCCCUAAACACGUCAGGUCAAGGUGCAGCCCAUGCGAGGGAAAAUAAUGGGCUACAAUUUCUAACUUAGAACAAACUAACAGCCGUGUGAAAUCCCGGCCUAAAGGCGGAUUUAGUAGUAAGAGAAGAGCAGAGAGCCUCUCUUAAACAGGACCUGGGUUGCGUACAAACCGCCCGUCACCCUCUUCAAUAUAUCCUUUUAAAUUUUUAAUAAGAACUAUGCUCAAGAAGAGGCAAGUCGUAACAUGGUAAGUGUACUGGAAGGUGCACUUGGAAUAA
Molecule: ribosomal RNA, 715 nt
Filed under: Cornufer desticans
Lineage: Eukaryota; Metazoa; Chordata; Amphibia; Anura; Ceratobatrachidae
Description: partial 12S ribosomal RNA
Rfam family: Bacterial small subunit ribosomal RNA
Source: RNAcentral